CCACGCACUUGCCGUCCACGUCGCACAGCUCGCCCAUGGGGGUCAUGGGCAGCAGGGUCUGGAUGGUGGGGUUCGAGUUGAUCAGCGAGAUGAACUUGGUGAACACCAGCUCCACCUUGUCCGACUCCUGAGCAAUGAACGAGGCGAAGAUCUCGUCAGCAAUGCCCUGGGCCUCCUUGGUCGAGGGAGCAGCGCCCAGCGAGAAGGACUCUGCGGGCGGAACAACGAGCGGCGACGGGGAAUGCGUUCAGGGAGCCGAUGGAGGUUGGAAAGCGAGGGGUUGUGCAUGUGCCGCGUAUGGAGCUGAGGGCUGGCCACGUCCCUCAGAACCCGAAGCUGAGCGCUGGGAGUUGAUGUGCCCCGGCACCAGAAAGAUGCCGGUCUCGCCCGACUGAGACCGGCUCCAACUGACAGCUUUCAACCUAGCAGAGAACGCCAUGCUUAUGCUGAAAAUUCUGGUUGUUCUGCUGGCUUUUGUUGCGGCGACUGCGCUGCGAUAGCACCAUACCCUGCCAACCGCAACCACGCUGACUGGUCAGCAAGGCCACGGUCCGCGCCGGCGACAGCAGCCCAUGUCCGCUUUCACAUCCUGCAGCGGCCUGAUCCAGCUGCAACGCCAGCUCGCCACUCCGUACGUGCAAGCACAGGACUACUGCCGCUCCAAAGUGGCUGGGCGGCCAGUGCUGCGUGUCCAGCGCCAGAGCUCCGCACGCUGCUGCGUGUGUUCGGCCGCCGAGCCCUCCGAUUCCAUGCGAUUCCCUUUCAAUGCGUCUGUGCUUGUUGCGCCACAGAUUCACAUCAUCAGGCCACCGCACGUUCGCCGACACCCACACCACAUC
Molecule: long non-coding RNA, 839 nt
Filed under: Chlamydomonas reinhardtii
Lineage: Eukaryota; Viridiplantae; Chlorophyta; Chlorophyceae; Chlamydomonadales; Chlamydomonadaceae
Description: long non-coding RNA (CREI_LNC000489)
Source: RNAcentral